This 253-nucleotide ribosomal RNA is filed under the name uncultured bacterium. RNAcentral's name for it is "partial 16S ribosomal RNA". It matches the Rfam family "Bacterial small subunit ribosomal RNA", at positions 524 to 776 of the family's 1533-position model. The record is from RNAcentral.
UACAGAGGUCUCAAGCGUUGUUCGGAUUCAUUGGGCGUAAAGGGUGCGUAGGCGGCGCGGUAAGUCGGGUGUGAAAUCUCGGAGCUUAACUCCGAAACUGCAUUCGAUACUGCCGUGCUUGAGGACUGGAGAGGAGACUGGAAUUUACGGUGUAGCGGUGAAAUGCGUAGAUAUCGUAAGGAAGACCAGUGGCGAAGGCGGGUCUCGGGACAGUUCCUGACGCUGAGGCACGAAGGCCAGGGGAGCAAACGGG